Molecule: non-coding RNA, 67 nt
Organism: Podarcis lilfordi (Lilford's wall lizard)
Lineage: Eukaryota; Metazoa; Chordata; Lepidosauria; Squamata; Lacertidae
Source: the annotation of a GenBank genome assembly
GUGGCGUAAUGGUUAGCGUAUUGGACCAGGACUCCAGCGGGCCUAGUUUCAAAUCCCCACUGGGCCA